This 253-nucleotide ribosomal RNA is filed under the name uncultured bacterium. Its description in RNAcentral is "partial 16S ribosomal RNA". It matches the Rfam family "Bacterial small subunit ribosomal RNA", at positions 524 to 776 of the family's 1533-position model. The record is from RNAcentral.
UACGGAGGGGGCAAGCGUUACUCGGAAUUAUUGGGCGUAAAGGGCGCGUAGGCGGCCAACUAAGUCGGACGUGAAAUCCCUCGGCUUAACCGGGGAACUGCGUCCGAUACUGGAUGGCUCGAGUUUGGGAGAGGGAUGCGGAAUUCCAGGUGUAGCGGUGAAAUGCGUAGAUAUCUGGAGGAACACCGGUGGCGAAGGCGGCAUCCUGGACCAACACUGACGCUGAUGAGCGAAAGCCAGGGGAGCAAACGGG